This 3363-nucleotide long non-coding RNA is filed under the name Sus scrofa (pig). Its description in RNAcentral is "lncRNA (ENSSSCG00000063522.1)". The record is from RNAcentral. Lineage: Eukaryota; Metazoa; Chordata; Mammalia; Artiodactyla; Suidae.
UCUCUCUGGUGGGAGGAGGGGAGCAGGGAAGGGCUCCCGGGGAACCUCAUUCUGCAGAACUGGGAGGCGAGCUACUGGGAAGGGCCUAGAACUUUCUCGCCUCCUUUUUGUGCUUCUUUCACCUCAUGACCUCACCAACUCCUCCCAGCCCCUUUUCCCACUUCUCAGGGCCUGAUUCUCAGCUAGCUGCCAAGUACUGCCAAGGGUGAGCCACCAAGGGCUCAUGGUGCUGUCCCUUCGUGGGGGCAUUUUGUAUUUUGUUUCAACAAGUUUGACUCUGGAAACCCAAGAAGCUUAAGAAAAAAAAUUUUUUUUCAGAGUUCCCGUCGUGGCUCAAUGGUUAAUGAAUCUGACUAGCAUCCAUGAGGCCACAGGUUUGAUCCCUGGCCUUGCUCAGUGAGUUAAGGAUCUGGCGAUGCUGUGAGCUGUGGUAUAGGUUGCAGACACGGCUUGGAUCCUGCGUUGCUGUGGCUCUGGCGUAGCUCGGCAGCUACAGCUCUGAUUUGACCCCCUAGCCUGGGAACCUCCAUGUGCCGCGGGUGCAGCCCCCAAAAGAAAAAAAAAUUAAAUGUAUCGCUCAGAAAAAAACAAUUAAAAGUAUCACUCAGAUGGUUCAGGUGGUCACUGGAGGUCCGGUGCAGGAAAAGCCUCUGAAAAUAAGCAAGGCAUUCAAAUAAGUGAGAUGAUCGCAUCUCUGGAUUCUUCUUUUGAGUAGACACAGGUUGUUGCCGUGGAACACUGACAAGUGUCAGCCAGACCCGCUGCCCCGUAGACCGGGAAACGUGGGGUAAACGGGGAGCCUCUGUUCCGGGGGAUGUUUCUCCGCGGUGGAAGCGGGAAGCAGGUACACCUGUUAGCAGUCAGUGCUGCCGGCGCCCAGCGGCUGCCUGAGACUCAGGCCCUGAAAUGACACCGCCCACUCCUAGUCUGCCAAAGAUGAGCUCAAGGUACAGGCCUCGUUCCCUGGAGGACCCAAGAGCACUGGAACGUGAGUCACAGGGGCUGUGACCCCCUAGGCCUGCUCCUACUACUUGAUGGCCAUUCAAUCUCUUAGAGCCUUAGGUUUCUUCCCGGAGCUGGGAGGGUACCAGUGGUGGAGAAAGAGCAUCCGCAUCAGGAGGACUCCCAUUUCUCCUCCGGUCCCUUUUGGGAAGGUCUGGGGUCUAAGGGAAGGGGGUCUCCCAGUGACCUGCCUGAGUAGACAGCACAGAAAGAGUCUGGGGUGUCUCAGUGGUACUGGGUUUUCUGCGGUGUCUCUGCGGCAUAAGCGUCGAGGGGGCCGAUGCUGGGAAGGUUUGCGUUGGGUUCUGCGGGCUUUCAGGAUCGCGCUGUCCAGAGAGGAGCAUGUGUCUCUGCUUGCCUCUCAAGCUUGGGCCUUCCCCAGCACUUUCUGUCUUCUGGAAACACCUCGAAGUCUUCCGGGUUUGCUUACCUCUGCACCUCUUCACCCACAUGGCAAUUGGAGAGGGUGAUGAAUGCCAGGUGCUUCUUAGCUGGAGUCAGAAGCAAUCCUGCCUCUUUGCGCAGCUGUAAAUGCCUUAAAAGCAUUCAGACUGCUUUUUUGUCUUUGAGAAAAGCAAUACGGAGCCACCCCCGUUGGGUCUUAAGUGUCUGUCGCGGAAUGUUGCAAUCCCUGCCGAAUCGAGGCUGCCCUGGUCCAAACCAGGGCAGGGUGGAUGGUAAACUCUAUGGAUUACAUUUCCAGCAAAGUUGGAGUUUAAGAGAUUAAGGAGGAUUCUCUCCUUUGGGAAAGAUGUCUUGGUGAGGGAUUCCAGGGAUGAUCCGCUCUUGCUGGACCUAGAGUUUCCCAAGUGAACACAACUGGGUCACUGGGCUUCCUUUGUUCCCUGGACCGCGGCUGAGUAAGGGAAAAGGAAUUUCUCCUGGAGCUGGUAUUUUCCAAGGCGGUCAGCAAUGUUUGUCUCUUGGGCUGCUGAACGAGACGACGUGUGUAAAGGCAUAGGAAACAGUAUGAAGUGCUAAAAAAUAAAUACAUGAAGGAGGAAACUUGGUUAUAAAGUUGACUGAUGCAGCUUGAUGCUAGCACAGUCCCUGGGCUCUGGACGCCAGGGCCAUGUUUGAAACGGGAGGGUGUAAUUUCCCUUUCGGUCCUAUGUGUUUAAAGGAUGGAUGGGUAUUUGCACGUGGGCAGCCCAGUCCCCUGCGGGCCCAGGGCCCCUGCCAGGCCCACAGGGGGCAGACCCCACCGCCAGCCUCCCCUCUUGGCCAGCCACGCACCUGCCCUUGUUCUCCCUGUCAAAGUCUGUUCCUCCCCUGACAAGACAGCAGAAGACCUGUUUCCUGAGAAACCGUGAACUGUUGGGACAAGUCCAUCCACCCUCCUUUACAGCCAGCCUUUGCCUCUGUGGGACCUGCUUGCAGAGGAGAGAGACUGGAGCCUGUAACUCCCCAGCGAAGCAGGGGGCGGGGGCGGGUGGCCAUCCCUGCUCUGCAAGUGUGGUCUCUGGAAAGUUCCACUGGUUUAAAGGAAAACACUAAAGCCUGCUUCAGGCUCCACCUCUGGAACUAGAAAGUCCUUAAUCAAAAUGAACACGUAGGAAGUCCUCGUGUCAGCCAAUGGAUAACACACCAAAACACACAUGUUCGGGCUGGUUUGGAAUGAUGCUCAGCAGAGUGUCUCAGAGGACCCUCUGAGGACAUGGCCCUGCUUCUGCAUGGGGGACCUUAUCCAAGGGUGAGGUAUAGGGGGCUGUAGGACCUUGGCUCGGGCGCUGCUCUAGAAUAUAGUCCUGCCUUGCCUUGCAGGACAUUUAGAAAUUAUUCAGUAUGAUCUGGUGAUAUGCAAUUCACAUAACGUAAAAGUAGCCAUUUUAAAGUGAAGAAUUUAGUGGCGUUUUGUACCUUCCUAGUGUGCGAUCACCAUGUCUAUCUAGUUCCUAAACAUUUGGAACCCGUGGAAACCAUGACCCCACGUUACACGGUCCCUUCCCAUCCCCCACCCUCCACCCCGCCUCUGCCUCCGCCUCCGCCUCCGCCUCCAGUGCCCGGCAACCAUCACUCUGCUUCUUGUCUCUGUGGAUUGAUAUUUAGGUCGUAUUUUUGAGAAUCUCAAUGGCUCAAUUUGCUGAACUAAAAACCAAUCAAGACACACGAGCAUGAAAAAUAAUAGCUAUGCAUAGCAAUGUCGUUUCCUCCUUAUUUUAGUGCUUGGUAGACUUUAUAUACGUGCUCUUGUUCAGAAGCCCAAGAGGCAAGUGUUGCUGAAUGUGUUGGAAAUUAUCAGCUCCAGGAGAAAUUCCUGUUCUCUUCGGCAGUGGCGUGUCUGACACACUGGCAGAUACAGUCACUACCUUGAUUUGCUGCAUAAGGCGUGUGUUUGUUGCUCAAGUAAAGAUGAAAUAA